UAGGGAAUUUUGCGCAAUGGGGGAAACCCUGACGCAGCAACACCGCGUGAAUGAUUAAGCCCUUCGGGGUAUAAAGUUCUGUCAGUGGGGACGAAACUUGACGGUACCCACAAAGGAAGCACCGGCUAACUCCGUGCCAGCAGCCGCGGUAAUACGGAGGGUGCAAGCGUUGUCCGGAAUCAUUGGGCGUAAAGCGUUCGUAGGCGGUAUAUCAAGUCCGGUGUCAAAGCCCAAAGCUCAACUUUGGAUCCGCACUGGAUACUGGUAAACUAGAAUGUGGUAGAGGUAAAGGGAAUUCCUGGUGUAGCGGUGAAAUGCGUAGAUAUUAGGAGGAACACCAGUGGCGAAGGCGGCCUGCUGGGCUUUUACUGACGCUGAGGCUCGAAAGCAUGGGGAGCAAACA
Molecule: ribosomal RNA, 403 nt
Filed under: uncultured bacterium
Lineage: Bacteria
Description: bacterial SSU rRNA
Rfam family: Bacterial small subunit ribosomal RNA
Source: RNAcentral